This 253-nucleotide ribosomal RNA is filed under the name uncultured bacterium. Its description in RNAcentral is "partial 16S ribosomal RNA". It matches the Rfam family "Bacterial small subunit ribosomal RNA", at positions 524 to 776 of the family's 1533-position model. The record is from RNAcentral.
GACAGAGGGUGCAAACGUUGUUCGGAAUUACUGGGCGUAAAGCGCGUGUAGGCUGCUCAGAAAGUCGGAUGUGAAAGCCCUGGGCUCAACCUAGGAAGUGCAUUCGAAACUUCUGAGCUGGAGUGCUGGAGAGGAAGGCGGAAUUCUCGGUGUAGAGGUGAAAUUCGUAGAUAUCGGGAGGAACACCAGUGGCGAAGGCGACUACCUGGCCUGUUCUUGACGCUGAGGCGCGAAAGCUAGGGUAGCAAACGGG